CAUGGCCUUGAUUCGCUCUUCUUUUUUUUCCCCCGUUUUUUCAGCAUUCUUUUGUCUGAUUUUUGUCAGAUUCGGUGAUGUCUUUUUGAGAAGAUUUAGAUUUUGGCAAUGUUAUGCGCAAAGAUGAACUGUCCUACCAAAUUUAGAUAAACAUCUAUAAUUUUUGUUCUUCUCUGUUUUUUUUACACAGACUUUUAUGGCUUGAUCUGCUUGUCUUUUUCUUUUUUCUGCCCUUUUUGCGAUUAUCUUUCCAGUAUAUGCUUACAUUUCAGGAAAACUGUGGCAUUUUGGUUGGCAUUGUGCAAAUUGAGAAACGGGAGGGUAAGGCGUAAGAAUAUCUGGUUAAAGUUUGUGAUCAUAUGGAAAAGGCUCGCUAACAUCUAUUAAGCCCCUUUUUUCAGUAAUGAUGGUGUUUAUAUUUGUCAACAGAUAUAUUUGAGAUUAGUCUUGAUGGUUAUGUUGUUCUAGUUUUGACAUGGUUAAUGGAAAUCAAGUGAUCUGAAAAUGUUUUAACAGGCAUCUCAGCAUGACAUGUUGUGGGGCUCAUAUCUCACCUCUUUUAUGAAAGGCCGUUUUUGUAGUUCUUGUUCAGACAAUGUCAUUUCAGGGGACUUUUGUUGCAUUUCUGCAUGUAUGUAUUAUGAUAUCAAGUAGGAAUUCUUCUAUAUAUAGUUCUUCUAUGAAAUUUUAGUAUAUACCCUUUAGUUUGUGCAUGGUAGCCAUUGGCUUGAACCAAUUAAUAAAGUAAAAUUCUUGGAUUCAGUUUCAAAUGAAGAAUUGAGUUGAAUGAAUUGUAGCAUGUGUUCUUUGAUUGGGGUUAUAAUGGAGGAUGGUAGAAUUGUUGCGCGGUGUAUAUGUUGUGAGGUCAAGAGGCUUCUGGUUGAAUCUGGGAUUUGACCUUGGGUUGAGGAGGAUAGGAAAACAUUGUUCUAAUCCAAUAAUUGAGAGGAUCAAUCAGUGUCUCACUACCUACCCUUAUUUUUCUUUCUUUCUUUUUUCUUUUUAAUGGUUGGAUCACCCUCAUUAUAAGGCAGACCAUCAUUUAGCAUUCAUCAGUUCUUCUUGUGCUCGAACUAGUAAGAACUCUAUAUCUGGAGUGACUAUGUUCAAUUCUGGCGUGGUAUAUGAAGCUAAAAUAGGGAGCUUUAGCGAUCAUAAGUUUUGUUAUGCAUGACGGGAUACUGGAGAUUUUGCUAUGAGGAGAAGUGAACAAUGAGCUAUGUUGUUUUGAUUAUAGAACAUUUUCAAAUUUGAUGCUGCUUUUAAGGUUAGAAAUGAGACAAAUGGCCCUUGAGUUUGGUCUAUUGUCUUCAGAUAGGUUUCUUGAUCUUUGUCCAUUACAAAGGACUGGGAUGUUGUUGCUAGAGAUUAUUAGACAAAUGCCAAUGGCUGGAAUAUGUGUGCAACUAUAUAAGCCUUACCGAUGAAUAGAAUGUUUAGGUGGGAGGGCUUUUCUAUUUUUAAGGUAGGAGCUGAUUGUGAAAGGAGAACAUUGGAUGUUUUAAGGGACAAGGGAGUAUCUCCCUAAGGACUUUAUUAUAUAUUAAUGUUUUGAGUGAGGUGCAAAUUUUUCUUGAGAAAAGAUCCAAAACCAGAAAGAUCCUUAAAAAAUUCCAAGUGUUUCCUUGGUUUCUUGACUUGCUAGAGUUCUUACAUGUCAUAUCAUCAAGUAAUAGAAAAUGAGGCCAGAACUGGUUCUCAAUGUAACAUGAUCUGGAGAAGUAAUUCUCAAUUAUCUUUUAUAUUGAUCUCUUAUUGGAUCACUUUGAGGUAUAUUACCUUUACCACAACCAUCAAACCCUUUACAACAAUCUUGGCAUGGCUUUAUCAAUGCUUAUUCAUGAAUCAUUUCUAUUAAACAUGACCCUUGAUAUUACUAUAGGCUUCUCUAAAUCCUUCCUCACAACUUUAAUUCAAAUUAGAAUUGGUUUCCACUCAUCUUCUUAUAUGUAUUACAGAUUCAAAAACCUCUCCCUACCAGCUGUCUUAAUCUUUUCUAUAUGUGUUUAUGGCAUCUAUAUUGGUUUUUCAUUACUCUGUUCUCAUUUGGUGCAACUCCUCUGUUGGCAUAAACUGCCCUUGAGAUUUUUCUUGCAAAGGUGGGAGAGUAGUUUGUUUCUUGUAAGACUGCAAGUUAUGUAAUUUCAGGAUGGAAGCCAGGGUAUGAAUCUUUCACUUGCUAUUUGUGAUGGGUUUUGAAGGGUAGAAACAAAAUAUUUUAUCAAGAAUUUGUAUUGGAUGUGGAUCGAAUAUUGUGCUUUAUCUUCCCAGAUGUUUGUCACUGGUUAGAUUAUGCUAUGUAUAUCUUCUUGAAGGAUUAACUGGAAACAGCUGUAUUUGAUGUUUCCAUCCUUUUCAUCCAGAUUUUACCUUCAACUAUCUUUUAUUAUUAUUAGCUGAUCUACCAUAUUUGAAUUUCUUUUUUCUGAUUUUGUUGUACCUGUAUUUAUUUUCUUGGUACUAGCUAUACAUGAAUAUGUUUCUUCAAAGAAAAAAAAAAUUCAGGUCAAACUUAAAUUUCUUAAAUUUUGAUAAUUGUUGAGAUAUAUCAGAAAGGUGUUAUUGUUUAAUUAGAUUAAUUAGAAUUCAACUAGGAGGUUUUGUUACUUGAUGAUUGGAGCAACCUGUCUGCUAGGACUUGUUCACGCUGUUAGUUAUAUUGCAGAAUUUGUGAAAUAUAUACAUCCAGAGUUUUUCUUUAUCAUGAAUAUGCUCGAGCAUUUGGAUUUUCUUGGAAGUGUUAUCUCUGUAUUUAACUUGAUUCAUGGAUAAUAAAUCCAAGAUUUUUAAAGAAACUGGUUUCAUUUGAACAAAAGCAGCAUUCUAGAAACUAAGUGUAUUGUCAAAGUUCGGUACUUUUCCUUGCCUUUUAACUUACAGUUUGGUAACAAAAGAUUCUGCAAACUUGGUUUAGCUAGUUGUAUAAUGACUUUUUCCUCAUUAGAUGGUUCCCUUGGAUACCUAAUGAGAUGUUUACUUCCAAUGCCCUCUCUCUUUCUCUCUCUCUCUGAGCAAAAGGCUGAGGCCCCAAAACUAAGCCUGACAUAACAAAAGCCACUAGCAUCAGCAUGAGCUAAAACCAUGGCAUCAGAUAGGAAAGGAGUCCAUGUAGUCACUCCAUCAUGCCACAAACUAAAGCCUGCAAACAAGUCAGCAACAUUGUAUUAGUUUGAUACUUUGGUAUACUACCUUUUAAGUUGUCUUGAAAAAAAUCAAUCACUAUGUGGACAAAAAUGUCCUCAUACCUUACAGAAAAAGGUUUCAUUUUCUUUACCAUGUUCUUUAGCUUUUGCUAUGAUAUCCUACAAAAAUGAUUUCUAUUUCUUCUAUUUUUUUAAUGGCUCCUAAGACCUCCCAUGCACAAAAGAAAUUUGAUCUUCAUGAAUUUUCUUGUUACAAAAAUCUGUAGAUAUGAAAUAGUCCCUCUACUCUUCUUGGGAUUGGGCAGAUCAUUACUGGCUCAUGAUUGAAAAAUGAGUAUGUGGAGCAAAACCAGUUGAAAUAGGGAAAACCCACUACAGCAAUUACUCUAACUACAUCAGAUAUGCUUGACGAUAGAACUUUCUUUGAAAUAGUCCCAAGAAGGCGUUGGAUAUUAGAGGGGUCAAAUAAUAUCCUUUUGAACUAUGCCAAACAACUACCUGGUCCCUACUUAAGCAAUGAAUGACACCUUGAUUUUGUGUAAAGGAUUCCUUGUAGAAGACUCGCUAAAAAGUUCAAUGAAGGGCUUCUUUUUUGGACCUAACUUGUGCAAAAAGACCCUGUAUAAGGCUUACUCAUCUCAACAACUUGAGGGCUUCUUUCAAGGCCAUCUUGAGCAACAACUCUUAAAUCAGUUCCAUAUAUGCGUAUGCAAAAGGCAAUGCUCCUGCCAGCUACAGUAAUGUCUGUUGGCUAAUCAGGGUCUUUUCUACUAAUGCAACAAAUUUAUCCUCUGUGCUUCCAUUUCUUGGCCAUGGACCAUAUGAAACACUAAAAUUUAUCUGCUUAUAAGUGGGGACAUUUACGCUCACCUUCAUCUAAACCUUAAUAGAUACAGUUAUAUUUAUGCACAGCAUAUCAAUCACAUGUAGUUAUAUGGAAAUCUGCAUUAUAGUAUAUAAAAUAACAUUUGGAUCUUAAUUCUAUUUUUAGGGACCCACAUAAAACUAUUAGCUAGUAGAUGUUAGAUGAUUUUGGUCUGUAAUAAUGCUUCAUCGGAAAGGUACAGGAUCAAAGAUUAUCAAGUCUAAUGUACUUCUAUUAAAGUUAAGCUCUAUUGCUUGUGCAGUCAAUAAUGAACAUGCCAAGCAACAUUGUUAAUCUCAAAACAAUGUUUCAAGAAGUCCAUAAAUUCUUGGAAAUGUAAAAGAAAAUUUCACUCGUAACAGGAAGAGUGGACGGUCCUCUUGUUUAGUCUACAUAUCAAGCUGUAAAUCUUCUCAUUGCUAAUUUUGUAUCUUCGGAUGAUUCUUCAUGUUUUGUUCUGGUUAGUUAAAAGAUCGCCAAAAAAAACUGUUACAUUGAUGGUAUCUCCUUUCUGGUAUUCUACAUUUGUCUGUGCUCUUUACAUACCACAUUCAAGUUUAAAUAUAACUGCAAUGUUUUAGUUUCUUGUUUUGCUGCUAUCUUAUCCUUUGCCUUUUGAGUUAUGAGAAUUAGGAUGGCAAUUUUAUGAACAUUCAUUGCAGUAUCUUAUUUAUUAAAUGAAGAAUUUAACAUUGUCCUCUCAUUUAUCAAUUUAUUUUUCAAUAUCAAGCCUUUGAAUUCCAUUUUAGCAUGCACAGUAUCUAGCUUUCUGUCAUUAGAAUAUGUGUUUCAAAUGAAUUUUAUGUAGAUUGUUAGGCUCAAUGCAGAAAAUGUUAACUAGUGCUCUAUUGAUAUGUUGUUAUUUGUUAAAAAUCUUCCUUGUUCAAUUUCUUUAAAGGAAGCUGCGUUGCCAUGCAAGAAAUUUAGGUGACUGCCAGCCAAAACUGGUGCCUUAAUUUCCAUUCUUCCAAAAGUGUCUUGUUAUUCAUCUUAAUUUACUUUUAACUCUGGGAAGUCUACCAGUAAAAAUUUACAGGCCUGAAUGUAUGUUUACUUACAUGACAUGAGUAUGUUGUAUAACCUUCUCCAACUUGUAUAGGACUCCUACAGAGUCAUUUCUUUAUAUUUUGGAUGAAGCCCUUUUUGGUCAGUGGUAUCAUUUUAUAUUACAGCAUCUGGGCCUUUCGCCCUGACAAGGUAUCGGAGCCUGAAUCAUGGCUGGAAGUCUUCACUGCAGAUUCAUCACUCUGCAACUCAACGAUACUCCAGAUUUUUUAAAUCUUCAACAAAAGAGGUUCCUCUGCGAGCUUGGUUAGAGAUUCAAGUUCAGUUCAUUUAAUUGGAUUCUGCAUCUGUACUUGAUAUGCUGCUUAUGGUCAUCAUCAUUAAAGAUUACUUUGCUGCAGCUUUCUUUUUUUCAUUUUACAUCCAGCUAAUUCUGUCUUGCACUAAGCCAUAAUUAUUUUUGUUGUUAAUUAAUAUAUCUGGCAUCCAGUUUUGACCAUAAUCUCGUUCAGUUUGGUGCAGGUUUCUGAGGUCUUUUUUCCUAGCAAUUGCUGCGGCCCUUGAAGCCUCAGGCAGGUCUCUUUUGUGCACUUCGUUCAGAGCAAUGACAGGAUUUUUAGAAGAAGAAGGUAUUUUGAUUAUAUUUCAGCUGUUCGAGAACAGGUCUACAAAAUGAUUUCAUGUAAUGACUGCUACAUUACCACAAUGGCAUUAGUAACAUUGAAGGCCCUAGAAAUAUCAUUAUGAGGCCAACUUAGUCAUUUUAAAAGGAGGAGUUGCUGUCAUGGGAUCAACCCUAUCUCAAUCUCUAUCUCAUUCGGGGCAGUUGGCACCCAGCGACAAGAGAUGACUUCACCAAUGGACCAUGCAAUCACCAUCAGUGAAAACCGACGGACGGCAGUGGUGCCCACAGCCUAAACCGAUCAACAUCACCGACAACCCUCCGAUCCAUAUCAGAUGGUCGCAUUAGAAAAUUGAGGAAUCUUGGGAUGAGCCGGAGCUCAUCCAAACCGCAAUGGGCUCAAAAGUUUGGACCCUUUGACCGUGGGGCCCACUCAAAAAGCAGUGCGGCCCACGCAUUAAUUACUUUCAAAGGUAAGGCAAUUUGAGGGAAAGAGUCCAUAUUUCUCACGACAGCUUACCCUUACCCUUCUCUUAAGAAGUCCAUUGCAUCAUGCUCGGACAUAGUGGGGAAAUAAUAACAAAGAAAACCCUUCCCCUGGAAGCAAGAAGAAGAAGAGGGGACUAUAAGAAGAGCAAAAAGGAGGCAAAUAAUACUGAAUUCUCUCUUGGUAAGGGGAUUCCAGGUUAGUAUUUCAAUAUUUACGCUGGAGAAAUGUUGCAUCCAUGCCGGAAAUCGCUAUUAUGGAUGAGUUUGAUCGUCAUAGGAGCUUCAAUUUUGAUGAGAAAUGGGGGUGCAGUGUCUCUUCCACGUCGAGAACUGGAUGGGAACUGCACCUGUAACUCGCCAUGUGGGAACCCUUGUGAGAAUCCGAGCCCGCCACCGCCAUCUCCACCAGUACUGCCGCCACCUUCACCGCCACCGCCAUCUCCACCAGUACUGCCGCCAUCUUUACCGCCGCCGCCGUAUGAGCCUGCAGGCCCUCCUCCACCAUUCUGCCCGCCGCCUCCUUAUGAGCCUGCAGGCCCAAAUUUACCAUAUACACCAGCUCCACCCUAUUGGCUCGGCCCACCGGCAACCUUAUAUCCAGUAGACCCUGGGUACCACCGUUCUGAUGGGGCUGGCCGGAGUUCUAUGGGGAAGUUCCUGGUGUUGGUGGGCUGUGGGCUGUUGGCCUUGCUCUGAGGUGGCUGUGGGAGCUCAAUUUGUAGAAUAUUAAAGUUGUUUAAUGUAGAUUUGUGUUCCGCUCUUUUGUUAUUUAAUUCCCUCAAAGUUUUCAAGAUAAUUUGAUGAACUCUUGAUUCCUAGAUGGAUUCAGUUAGAAUAAAAUUGUUCAGUUGUUUCAUUGCUUUUGAGCUCAUACCAUGAACAAUGCUAUCUCUCUA
Non-coding RNA from Phoenix dactylifera (date palm), 7020 nucleotides. NCBI's taxonomy places the organism in Eukaryota, Viridiplantae, Streptophyta, Magnoliopsida, Arecales, Arecaceae. The record is from RefSeq and is a predicted model, not a curated record.